This 111-nucleotide small RNA is filed under the name uncultured Anaeroplasma sp. RNAcentral's name for it is "Ribosomal protein L10 leader". It matches the Rfam family "Ribosomal protein L10 leader". Rfam says of the family: This family is a putative r-protein leader autoregulatory structure found in B. subtilis and other low-GC Gram-positive bacteria. It is located in the 5' untranslated regions of mRNAs encoding ribosomal proteins L10 and L12 (rplJ-rplL). The record is from RNAcentral. Lineage: Bacteria; Bacillati; Mycoplasmatota; Mollicutes; Anaeroplasmatales; Anaeroplasmataceae.
GUAAAAAAAUUAAAGCCGAAGACAGUAGGCGGGCGUAAGCCCUUAAUCUCCUACCGAGGAACAUUGAAGACUAAUCUUCUUUUACCUUGGUAGAAGAGGAUUUUUCAUUUA